CCCCGCCAUAGCAAACUCCGAAUACCGAAGAGUGCAAUCACGGGAGACAGACAUCGGGUGCUAACGUCCGGUGUCAAGAGGGAAACAACCCAGACCGCCAGCUAAGGUCCCCAAAUAUGGCUAAGUGGGAAACGAAGUGGGAAGGCUAAAACAGUCAGGAGGUUGGCUUAGAAGCAGCCACCCUUUAAAGAAAGCGUAAUAGCUCACUGAUCGAGUCGUCCUGCGCGGAAGAUGUAACGGGGCUAAGCCAUAUACCGAAGCUGCGGAUGCGAGCUAGUCUCGCAUGGUAGGAGAGCGUUCCGUAAGCCUGCGAAGGUGCGUUGAAAAGCGUGCUGGAGGUAUCGGAAGUGCGAAUGCUGACAUGAGUAGCGAUAAAGGGGGUGAAAGGCCCCCUCGCCGUAAGCCCAAGGUUUCCUACGCAACGUUCAUCGGCGUAGGGUGAGUCGGCCCCUAAGGCGAGGCAGAAAUGCGUAGCUGAUGGGAAGCAGGUCAAUAUUCCUGCACCAUUGUUAGAUGCGAUGGGGGGACGGAUCGCGGAAGGUUGUCCGGGUGUUGGAAGUCCCGGUCGCUGCAUUGGAGAAGGCGCUUAGGCAAAUCCGGGCGCAGGAUUCAAGGGUGUGGCGCGAGCUCCUUCGGGAGCGAAGCAAUUGGAAGUGGUUCCAAGAAAAGCCUCUAAGCUUCAGUCUAACGAUGACCGUACCGCAAACCGACACAGGUGGGCGAGAUGAGUAUUCUAAGGCGCUUGAGAGAACUCGGGAGAAGGAACUCGGCAAAUUGGUACCGUAACUUCGGGAUAAGGUACGCCCUGGUAGCUUGACUGGCCUGCGCCAGAAGGGUGAAGGGGUUGCAAUAAACUGGUGGCUGCGACUGUUUAAUAAAAACACAGCACUCUGCAAACACGAAAGUGGACGUAUAGGGUGUGACGCCUGCCCGGUGCCGGAAGAUUAAAUGAUGGGGUGCAAGCUCUUGAUUGAAGUCCCGGUAAACGGCGGCCGUAACUAUAACGGUCCUAAGGUAGCGAAAUUCCUUGUCGGGUAAGUUCCGACCUGCACGAAUGGCGUAACGAUGGCCACACUGUCUCCUCCCGAGACUCAGCGAAGUUGAAGUGUUUGUGAUGAUGCAAUCUACCCGCGGCUAGACGGAAAGACCCCAUGAACCUUUACUGUAGCUUUGCAUUGGACUUUGAACCGAUCUGUGUAGGAUAGGUGGGAGGCUAUGAAACCGGAACGCUAGUUUCGGUGGAGCCGUCCUUGAAAUACCACCCUGGUUUGUUUGAGGUUCUAACCUUGGCCCGUGAUCCGGGUCGGGGACAGUGCAUGGUAGGCAGUUUGACUGGGGCGGUCUCCUCCCAAAGCGUAACGGAGGAGUACGAAGGUACGCUAGGUACGGUCGGAAAUCGUGCUGAUAGUGCAAUGGCAUAAGCGUGCUUAACUGCGAGACCGACAAGUCGAGCAGGUGCGAAAGCAGGUCAUAGUGAUCCGGUGGUUCUGUAUGGAAGGGCCAUCGCUCAACGGAUAAAAGGUACUCUGGGGAUAACAGGCUGAUACCGCCCAAGAGUUCAUAUCGACGGCGGUGUUUGGCACCUCGAUGUCGGCUCAUCUCAUCCUGGGGCUGUAGCCGGUCCCAAGGGUAUGGCUGUUCGCCAUUUAAAGAGGUACGUGAGCUGGGUUUAAAACGUCGUGAGACAGUUUGGUCCCUAUCUGCCGUGGGCGUUGGAAGUUUGAAGGGGGCUGCUCCUAGUACGAGAGGACCGGAGUGGACGAACCUCUGGUGUACCGGUUGUGACGCCAGUCGCAUCGCCGGGUAGCUAUGUUCGGAAGAGAUAACCGCUGAAAGCAUCUAAGCGGGAAACUCGCCUUAAGAUGAGACUUCCCCGGGGACUUGAUCCCCUUGAAGGGUCGUUCGAGACCAGGACGUUGAUAGGUCGGGUGUGUAAGCGCAGUAAUGCGUUCAGCUAACCGAUACUAAUUGCCCGUACGGCUUGAUC
This 1987-nucleotide ribosomal RNA is filed under the name Burkholderia pseudomallei 354e. RNAcentral's name for it is "bacterial LSU rRNA". It matches the Rfam family "Bacterial large subunit ribosomal RNA", at positions 939 to 2925 of the family's 2925-position model. The record is from RNAcentral. Lineage: Bacteria; Pseudomonadati; Pseudomonadota; Betaproteobacteria; Burkholderiales; Burkholderiaceae.